CAAAGGUGCACGUUCUCCCCACGUGCCAAGAGAGUUGUAGCUUACGUCAUACGUGGGCUGAAGAGUAAUUCUAACAACUUCAGUCACCUGGAAUGAGUUGAGGCUAAACAGUCGCAGAAAUCAAAGUGUAAUACACAUUGUUGCAAAAUAUAAGCCCUUUAACACGAGGAAAACGGGAGCAAAUUCAAAAGUGAACAGAAGCCAGGCCAACACAUCAGACACUCCCACCUGCCAGCAUGAUGCCGCUAAUAAAACAGCAGUCAUCGAACACAGAUCCCAUCUGCUGUAAAGAGUGUGGAAAAUGUCUUUUUUCCCAUGGCUCCAGGGUCACCAAGGCACCCAUCAACUACAGGAAUGAGUUCCGGCCGACAGAAGGCAACAAGUCCAAUACAAAUGAUUUCAAAUUCUUUGUCCCAGGAAACCUCUCGGCAAGGGUCCCGAACUCCACCGGGGUGUUAUCGUGUAAAUGCGGCAGGAACUGGGAGACCAGCUACACGGUUGAUUAUAAUGCCUAUCCCAUCCAGCAGAACAUAGUUCGUAAGACCAUGGUGUACAGGGCACCAACUGCAAAGAUGGAUGGCCACACAGAAUAUAAAGAGAAGUUCCAUCCCUGGGAAAUCAUAAAGCGAGACCCCUUCUGGCAUAAAGAUAACCUGAAGCCAAGUAAGGCAAAGUUUCAAAGCACCACUACAUUUCAAGAUGAAUUCUACGCCAAGCCCAUGCCUAGCUCUCGACACAACUUCAAGCCAAUUCCUAGACGCAAGGAGUCUGCGCCCAUGGAGGUCAUGACCACUUACAGGGAGCACUAUGUCCUUCACCCGGCGCAACCCACACAGCAGCCGCCCUUGAAGCCCAGCAUCAUCUGCCUCAGCUGUCUUGGCACACACAGACCUGGUUACAGCAACCUGCGAGAGGAAGCUGCUAUGCUGGUUGCACCCAAAGCUGCAUGGGAGAGUAGCACCACUCCCUUUCAAACUUCUAUGGAGAGCAUCUCCUCCAAUCAUGCUAACCUCCUGGGUCACCAGGACUUGUCCACAGUGUCCAAUCAGCCCCCU
This 1055-nucleotide long non-coding RNA is filed under the name Scleropages formosus (Asian bonytongue). RNAcentral's name for it is "lncRNA (ENSSFOG00015026896.1)". The record is from RNAcentral. Lineage: Eukaryota; Metazoa; Chordata; Actinopteri; Osteoglossiformes; Osteoglossidae.